This 489-nucleotide long non-coding RNA is filed under the name Mus musculus (house mouse). Lineage: Eukaryota; Metazoa; Chordata; Mammalia; Rodentia; Muridae. The record is from RNAcentral.
AGCUUUGCAAAGACACUGCUUGGAAGUGGACUGCGCAGGCUUCUUAGAUAUGUAGCCAUCUUCUGGGACCUGCCAGUCUUGGAGAGAGAGAAGAUCCAGAAUUCUAUAAGCCGCAAACACACUGUAUUAGAGCAGGCUGAGAUCAGAUGGCUGGGGAGAAAUACAGAUGGAUGGAGUUAAGUAUGGGCGAAAUCAACGUUUCCAGAUGCACAGGGUGGACUAAGGGUGCUGUUCUUUUUGAUGAAGAGCAAGGACAAGAAGCAUCUCUUGUGAAUCACUAGGCAGGUGUUUGCUCUCUGGGGAAGUGACAGGAAACUCAUCCCUGACCCGAGGUUACUGGGAGGAAAGAGCUUCUUUUGGUUUUGUUUCUCUGCUUGGUGUACAAGUCAGUGCCCUGUCUAGGGAAGAAGAACGCAGAUGAUCCUUGGAUGUCCCCAAGGGAAGAAUGACCACUCUAUUACAGAAUUAAGGUCAUCUAGAGAUCCUGUU